GUGCCAGCAGCCGCGGUAAGACGAACCGUCCGAACGUUAUUCGGAAUCACUGGGCUUAAAGGGCGCGUAGGCGGGUGACCAAGUCCGGGGUGAAAUCCUCCAGCUUAACUGGAGAAGUGCCUCGGAUACUGGUUGUCUUGAGGAGGGUAGGGGCAUCUGGAACUAGCGGUGGAGCGGUGAAAUGCGUAGAUAUCAGAAGGAACGCCGGUGGCGAAAGCGGCGGACUGGACCUCUUCUGACGCUGAUGCGCGAAAGCUAGGGGAGCAAACAGGAUUAGAUACCCUGGUAGUCC
Molecule: ribosomal RNA, 292 nt
Filed under: uncultured bacterium
Lineage: Bacteria
Description: partial 16S ribosomal RNA
Rfam family: Bacterial small subunit ribosomal RNA
Source: RNAcentral